GCCCCGGUAGCUCAACGGACAGAGCAUCCGCCUCCUAAGCGGGUGGUUGCAGGUUCGACUCCUGCCCGGGGUA
RNAcentral lists this transfer RNA (73 nucleotides) under bacterium. RNAcentral's name for it is "tRNA-Arg". It matches the Rfam family "tRNA". Rfam says of the family: Transfer RNA (tRNA) molecules are approximately 80 nucleotides in length. Their secondary structure includes four short double-helical elements and three loops (D, anti-codon, and T loops). RNAcentral also lists the same sequence under 2 other names. The record is from RNAcentral.